GCUUAUGAGUAGAAUUGAUUCUCCGUGUGCGCCGUGUGCGGAUAGCUUGCUAUGCGUGUGUGGCUGCGUGUGGAUUGAGUCGAGACGUAACUUAUUGCCGUUCGGGACGUUGACGAAAUGGAGCGAUUUGACCCGUCUUGAAACACGGACCAAGGAGUCUAACAUGUGUGCAAGUGUUAGGGUGUGGAAACCCCAGCGCGUAAUGAAAGUAAAGGAUAGCGCAAGUUAUCUGAGGUAGGAAAUGCUGCGGGUUCGUCCUGCGGCGUGGCACUAUCGACCGAUCAUGAACCCUUGUGGUGAAAGAUUUGAGUUUGAGCACAUAUGUUGGUACCCGAAAGAUGGUGAACUAUGCCUGAGUAGGGUGAAGCCAGGGGAAACUCUGGUGGAAGCUCGUAGCGAUUCUGACGUGCAAAUCGAUCGUCAAACUUGGGUAUAGGGGCGAAAGACUAAUCGAACCAUCUAGUAGCUGGUUCCCUCCGAAAUUUCCCUCAGGAUAGCAGCAACUUAUUUACGAUAGUUUUAUGAGGUAAAGCGAAUGAUUAGAGGAUUCGGGGAAGAAACUUUCUCGACCUAUUCUCAAACUUUAAAUCUGUAAGACCUGCAGGUUUCUUUUUU
Molecule: ribosomal RNA, 615 nt
Filed under: Bremia sp. ex Hieracium murorum
Lineage: Eukaryota; Oomycota; Peronosporomycetes; Peronosporales; Peronosporaceae
Description: LSU rRNA
Rfam family: Eukaryotic large subunit ribosomal RNA
Source: RNAcentral